RNAcentral lists this transfer RNA (71 nucleotides) under Cychrus caraboides. Its description in RNAcentral is "tRNA-Lys". Lineage: Eukaryota; Metazoa; Arthropoda; Insecta; Coleoptera; Carabidae. The record is from RNAcentral.
CAUUAGAUGACUGAAAGCAAGUAUUAGUCUCUUAAACUAAAUUAUAGUAAUCUAGCAACUACUUCUAAUGA